RNAcentral lists this unclassified non-coding RNA (310 nucleotides) under Hevea brasiliensis (rubber tree). Lineage: Eukaryota; Viridiplantae; Streptophyta; Magnoliopsida; Malpighiales; Euphorbiaceae. The record is from RNAcentral.
AAAAACAUCUUUGCAUGCUGAGUGAGAGUAUUGGUAAGAGAAGUAAAGGAAUCGACAUUUCAAAAAAUUCUCAAUAUUCGUGAAUCGACAAAACAGGAUACCCAUAUUGCUCAGCUGAGUUAAAUGUUGAAUCCAAAAGAAGAGGGUGGUGGAACACACACAUAACACCAGGAUUUUCAUUCUCCAUCUUGUUCCUUUAAUUUGCCUCUAAGAAACUAAAUAAGAGUACCCAGAUCUGCCCACCAUCAAAUUAUGCAUGCAAGACCAAAAACUACAUAAAUUAAAAGUUCCCAUUAAACAUAUGUCUAUA